GAUGAACGCUGGCGGCGCGCCUAACACACGCAAGUCGAACGGUUAAAGCACCUUUUAGGUGUGUAUAAAGUGGCGAACGGCUGAGUAACACGUGGGCAACCUGCCCUCCUCUUGGGGAUAGCCUCGGGAAACCGAGGAUAAUACCCGAUACUUCAAUGUGGCCGCAUGACGACAUUGAGAAAGCUUUUGCGGAGAAGGAUGGGCCCGCGGCCUGUUAGCUUGUUGGUGGGGUAGAGGCCUACCAAGGCAAUGAUGGGUAGCUGGGUUGAGAGACCGACCAGCCAGAUUGGGACUGAGACACGGCCCAAACUCCUACGGGAGGCAGCAGUGGGGAAUCUUGCACAAUGGGCGAAAGCCUGAUGCAGCGACGCCGCGUGCGGGACGAAGGCCUUCGGGUUGUAAACCGCUUUCAGCAGGGACGAGGCGAAAGUGACG
RNAcentral lists this ribosomal RNA (435 nucleotides) under Lancefieldella rimae. RNAcentral's name for it is "bacterial SSU rRNA". It matches the Rfam family "Bacterial small subunit ribosomal RNA", at positions 28 to 474 of the family's 1533-position model. The record is from RNAcentral. Lineage: Bacteria; Bacillati; Actinomycetota; Coriobacteriia; Coriobacteriales; Atopobiaceae.